Molecule: ribosomal RNA, 518 nt
Filed under: uncultured Glomus
Lineage: Eukaryota; Fungi; Glomeromycota; Glomeromycetes; Glomerales; Glomeraceae
Description: SSU rRNA
Rfam family: Eukaryotic small subunit ribosomal RNA
Source: RNAcentral
AGCAGCGCGGUAAUUCCAGCCCAAUAGCGUAUAUUAAAGUUGUUGCAGUUAAAAGCUCGUAGUUGAAUUUCGGGGUUAGUAGGUUGGUCAUGCCUCUGGUAUGUACUGGUCUCACUGAUUCCUCCUUCCUGAUGAACUGUAAUGCCAUUAAUUUGGUGUUGCGGGAAUUUGGACUGUUACUUUGAAAAAUUAGAGUGUUUAAAGCAAGCUAACGCUUGAAUACAUUAGCAUGGAAUAAUGAAAUAGGACGUUCGAUCCUAUUUUGUUGGUUUCUAGGAUUGACGUAAUGAUUAAUAGGGAUAGUUGGGGGCAUUAGUAUUCAAUUGUCAGAGGUGAAAUUCUUGGAUUUAUUGAAGACUAACUACUGCGAAAGCAUUUGCCAAGGAUGUUUUCAUUAAUCAAGAACGAAAGUUAGGGGGAUCGAAGACGAUCAGAUACCGUCGUAGUCUUAACCAUAAACUAUGCCGACUAGGGAUCGGAUGAUGUUAAUUUUUUAAUGACUCAUUCGGCGCCUUACG